Molecule: unclassified non-coding RNA, 502 nt
Filed under: uncultured Glomeromycotina
Lineage: Eukaryota; Fungi; Glomeromycota
Description: SSU rRNA
Rfam family: Eukaryotic small subunit ribosomal RNA
Source: RNAcentral
CCAAUAGCGUAUAUUAGUGUUGUUGCGGUUAAAAAGCUCGUAGUUGAAUUUCGGGAUUGGGAUAUAUCGGUCGUGCCUUUAGGGGCAUGAAUCGGUGUGUGGCCAAUUCUCACCUUCUGGUGAAUUGGGAUGCUCUCGGGUGUUUCAAUGAACUAGGACUUUUACUUUGAAAAAAUUAGAGUGUUUAAAGCGGGCAUUUUUGCUUGAAUACGUUAGCAUGGAAUAAUAAAAUAGGACGAUGGUUCUAUUUUGUUGGUUUUAGGACCACGUAAUGAUUAAUAGGGAUAGUUGGGGGCAUUAGUAUUCAAUUGUCAGAGGUGAAAUUCUUGGAUUUAUUGAGGACUAACUACUGCGAAAGCAUUUGCCAAGGAUGUUUUCAUUAAUCAAGAACGAAAGUUAGGGGAUCAAAGACGAUUUAUGUACGUCGUAGUCUUAACCAUAAACUAUGCCGACUAGGAAUCAGACAAAGUUAAUUUUUUAACGACUUGUUUGGUACCUUAUG